CGCUGGCGGCGUGCCUAAUACAUGCAAGUCGAACGGUCUUUCUAUGGAAGCUUGCUUCCACUGAGAAGAUAGUGGCGAACGGGUGAGUAACACGUGGGUAACCUGCCCAUAAGAGGGGGAGUAACAUCCGGAAACGGGUGCUAAUACCGCAUAGUUUUCUUGAUCGCAUGAUCGGGAAAGGAAAGACGGCCUUUGUGCUGUCGCUUAUGGAUGGACCCGCGGCGUAUUAGUUAGUUGGUGAGGUAACGGCUCACCAAGACGAUGAUACGUAGCCGACCUGAGAGGGUGAUCGGCCACAUUGGGACUGAGACACGGCCCAAACUCCUACGGGAGGCAGCAGUAGGGAAUCUUCCGCAAUGGACGAAAGUCUGACGGAGCAACGCCGCGUGAGUGAAGAAAAGGUUUUCGGAUCGUAAAACUCUGUUGCCAGAGAAGAACAAGUUGGAGAGUAACUGCUCCAGCCUUGACGGUAUCUGACCAGAAAGCCACGGCUAACUACGUGCCAGCCGCAGC
This 513-nucleotide ribosomal RNA is filed under the name uncultured bacterium. RNAcentral describes it as "bacterial SSU rRNA". It matches the Rfam family "Bacterial small subunit ribosomal RNA", at positions 34 to 518 of the family's 1533-position model. The record is from RNAcentral.